GCAGGAAGCCGGCAGCCACCCUGUUAGCCGAGAAGAGGAAAGCUGUGGUUGGUAACCCCGCCGCAACCAUCCCGCGCCGCGUCCGUGGGAGCAUGGAGACCGGAAUUGUCCUCCCACAGCCCCCGGAGAGCGAGGCCAGGAGAGCCCCCGAGGGUGAUGGUGGCAAGGAUGGUGAUGACACGAGCAGGAAUCCCUUUGCAGGGCUGGUGAGCCACCUGCGGGCAUCCUGGCUGUCUGGGAAGACUCGGCCCAUGGAAUACCGCAGGACCCAGCUGGAGGCCCUGGGACACUUCCUGGAUGACAAGAAGCAGCAGAUCCUGGAGGCCACUGCCUCUGACUUGGGCAAGCCACCCUUUGAAGCGGAAUUGUCUGAGAUAUUCCUGUGCAAGAACGAGCUCCAUGAGACCCUGAACAACCUGUCCCGCUGGAUGAAGGACGAGCAUGUGGACAAGAACCUGGCGAUGCAGCUGGACUCUGCCUUCAUCCGCAAGGACCCCUACGGGGUGGUGCUCAUCAUAGCGCCCUGGAACUACCCCAUCCACCUCCUCCUGGUGCCCCUCAUCGGGGCCAUCGCUGCUGGGAACUGUGCCAUCAUCAAACCCUCAGAGGUGUCCAAGGAGACAGAGAGAAUCGUGGCAGAAGCGCUGCCCAGCUACCUGGACAAGGACUGCUUUGCUGUGGUGACCGGUGGCGUGCCAGAGACCACCAGGCUGCUGGAGAACAAGUUUGACUACAUCUUCUUCACUGGCAGCCCCGCGGUGGGGCGGAUCGUGAUGACGGCCGCUGCCAAGCACCUGACGCCGGUGACACUGGAGCUGGGGGGCAAGAACCCCUGCUACGUGUCCGACACCUGCGACGUGACCAACGUGGCGCGGCGCGUGGCCUGGGGCCGCUUCUUCAACGCGGGGCAGACCUGCAUCGCGCCCGACUACCUGCUCUGCACCGUGGAGAUGCAGGAGAAGCUCAUCCCAGCCCUGCGUAAGGCCGUCGAGGAUUUCUAUGGCCCCAACCCCCGCGAAUCGCCGGAUUUCGGCCGCAUUGUGAGUGACAAGCAGUUCCGGCGGCUCCGGGCGCUGCUGUGCAGUGGGCGCGUGGCCCUCGGGGGACAGACGGACGAGGCAGAACGCUACAUCGCCCCCACGGUGCUGACGGACGUGCAGCCCUCAGAUCCUGUCAUGCAGGAGGAGAUCUUCGGGCCCAUCCUGCCCAUUGUUGUCAUCGCCAACAUGGAUGAAGCCAUCGACUUCAUCAACAGCCGGGAGCGGCCCUUGGCCCUCUACGCCUUCUCCUCCGAUGACAAGGUGGUGAACCAAGUCCUGGAGCGGACGAGCAGUGGAGGCUUCUGUGGCAAUGACACCCUGAUGCACUUCACACUGACCUCGGUGCCCUUCGGAGGCAUUGGGAACAGUGGCCUGGGGAUGCACCACGGGAAGUUCAGCUUCGACACCUUCUCCCACCACCGCGGGUGCCUGAAGCGCGGGAUGGGCUGGGAGCCCCUCAACGCCCCGCGCUACCCCCCCUACACCCAGCAGAAAUUCGGGGUCGUCCGGGCCACUUCCAAGGUGACACGUAAGAGCGGCUGUACCCUGCUCUGAUGAUCCUCUGGAGCCUCCCCGCCCAGCACAUCUCCUGCUGCUGCUCCUGGUGCCCAGGUGCAAUGAAAGCCCGUGACGGCACUCCCACCAAUGAGAAGCUCGUCCGCCGCCGUUCGCCUCGCCCACGACGCGCCGCCGCACGCGCACGCGUAGUGCCCGCGGGGGCGGCCAGGGGUCAGGACGCCGGAGGCCCUUGGGGCAG
Prinia subflava (tawny-flanked prinia) is the source of this 1797-nucleotide RNA transcript. It is a transcript of the gene named aldehyde dehydrogenase family 3 member B1-like, with no coding region annotated. NCBI's taxonomy places the organism in Eukaryota, Metazoa, Chordata, Aves, Passeriformes, Cisticolidae. The record is from RefSeq and is a predicted model, not a curated record. The transcript is spliced from 11 exons.